Molecule: long non-coding RNA, 234 nt
Filed under: Gossypium barbadense (sea-island cotton)
Lineage: Eukaryota; Viridiplantae; Streptophyta; Magnoliopsida; Malvales; Malvaceae
Description: long non-coding RNA (GBAR_LNC020111)
Source: RNAcentral
UGACCCACAACAUAGAAAGCCAUACAUUAUUGUUUACAAGAGAGCUUGAAAUAUUAUUAAAAAGUUGGAAACAGGUCAACAAUUCAAGAGAUUAAGAAUGUUCAAAACAAUGAUUAACAACACUGCAUUUAAUAAAUAAACAUAUCAUGGUUAAUCCCCUUCAAAGAAUUAGGGAUCACUUCCAGAACCCUGUUUUCCCCUAGCAACAUAUGCAAACUCACAAGCUCCAGACAA